This 253-nucleotide ribosomal RNA is filed under the name uncultured bacterium. Its description in RNAcentral is "partial 16S ribosomal RNA". It matches the Rfam family "Bacterial small subunit ribosomal RNA", at positions 524 to 776 of the family's 1533-position model. The record is from RNAcentral.
CACGUAGGGCGCGAGCGUUGUCCGGAAUUAUUGGGCGUAAAGAGCUCGUAGGCGGCCUGUUGCGUCCGCUGUGAAAGCCCGGGGCUUAACCCCGGGUCUGCAGUGGAUACGGGCAGGCUAGAGGUAGGUAGGGGAGAAUGGAAUUCCCGGUGUAGCGGUGAAAUGCGCAGAUAUCGGGAGGAACACCGGUGGCGAAGGCGGUUCUCUGGGCCAACACUGACGCUCAUGCACGAAAGCGUGGGGAGCAAACAGG